GAAGAGCUUGCGUCACAUUAGUUAGUUGGUGGGGUAAUGGCCUACCAAGACGAUGAUGUGUAGCCGGGCUGAGAGGUCGAACGGCCACAUUGGGACUGAGACACGGCCCAAACUCCUACGGGAGGCAGCAGUAAGGAAUUUUCGGCAAUGGAGGAAACUCUGACCGAGCAAUGCCGCGUGAACGAUGAAGUAUUUCGGUACGUAAAGUUCUUUUAUUAGGGAAGAAAAGAUGGUGGAAAAACCAUUAUGACGGUACCUAAUGAAUAAGCCCCGGCUAACUAUGUGCCAGCAGCCGCGGUAAUACAUAGGGGGCAAGCGUUAUCCGGAAUUAUUGGGCGUAAAGGGUGCGUAGGCGGUUAAAUAAGUUUAUGGUCUAAGUGCAACGCUCAACGUUGUGAUGCUAUAAAAACUGUUUAGCUAGAGUUGGAUAGAGGCAAGUGGAAUUCCGUGUGUAGUGGUAAAAUGCGUAAAUAUACGGAGGAACACCAGAAGCGAAGGCGGCUUGCUGGGUCUUAACUGACGCUGAGGCACGAAAGCGUGGGGAGCAAACAGGAUUAGAUACCCUGGUAGUCCACGCCCUAAACGAUGAGUACUAAACGUUGGAUAAAACCAGUGUUGAAGUUAACACAUUAAGUACUCCGCCUGAGUAGUACGUACGCAAGUAUGAAACUUAAAGGAAUUGACGGGACUCCGCACAAGCGGUGGAUCAUGUUGUUUAAUUCGAAGGUACCCGAAAAACCUCACCAGGUCUUGACAUGCUUUUGCAAAGCUGUAGAAAUACAGUGGAGGUUAUCAGAAGCACAGGUGGUGCAUGGUUGUCGUCAGCUCGUGUCGUGAGAUGUUGGGUUAAGUCCCGCAACGAGCGCAACCCUUGUUGUUAAUUGCCAUCAUUAAGUUGGGGACUUUAGCAAGACUGCCAAUGAUAAAUUGGAGGAAGGUGGGGACGACGUCAAAUCAUCAUGCCCCUUAUGACCUGGGCUACAAACGUGAUACAAUGGCUGUUACAAAGGGUAGCUAAAGCGUAAGCUUCUGGCGAAUCUCAAAAAAGCAGUCUCAGUUCGGAUUGAAGUCUGCAACUCGACUUC
RNAcentral lists this ribosomal RNA (1085 nucleotides) under 'Convolvulus arvensis' phytoplasma. RNAcentral's name for it is "bacterial SSU rRNA". It matches the Rfam family "Bacterial small subunit ribosomal RNA", at positions 224 to 1319 of the family's 1533-position model. The record is from RNAcentral. Lineage: Bacteria; Bacillati; Mycoplasmatota; Mollicutes; Acholeplasmatales; Acholeplasmataceae.